This is a long non-coding RNA of Penaeus monodon (black tiger shrimp), 218 nucleotides long. RefSeq lists it as uncharacterized. The transcript has 2 exons. The record is from RefSeq and is a predicted model, not a curated record. Lineage: Eukaryota; Metazoa; Arthropoda; Malacostraca; Decapoda; Penaeidae.
CUACCAUCUCAAGAUCACUCAAAAUCAUUUUGUUUUUCUAUAUAAUUUUUCCCUCGCAUUACACAAUAAAAGGUGUAUUCAAGAAUAGCUUAGUCUACCAUCUCAAGAUCAGUCUCAGCGUCUUUAAGGAGCAAGAAAAGUGUGUGGAAGGUUCAUUAUUUUCUCCGCCGGACAUGUGUGUACCUUUUCCUCGAGCCAUUGUCAAAAAAAAAAAAAAA